UGUGUGUGUGUUGAGGCACAAAAAGGUGCAAUGCUAUGUCUUCAGUGCCAGGAUGUUUCUUGUCUUCUGGUUCUAUUCUCAGUCGCUGGUACACUA
Molecule: small nucleolar RNA, 96 nt
Organism: Oncorhynchus kisutch (coho salmon)
Lineage: Eukaryota; Metazoa; Chordata; Actinopteri; Salmoniformes; Salmonidae
Source: Ensembl